RNAcentral lists this ribosomal RNA (442 nucleotides) under uncultured bacterium. Its description in RNAcentral is "partial 16S ribosomal RNA". It matches the Rfam family "Bacterial small subunit ribosomal RNA", at positions 338 to 795 of the family's 1533-position model. The record is from RNAcentral.
CCUACGGGAGGCAGCAGUGGGGAAUAUUGGGCAAUGGACGCAAGUCUGACCCAGCAACGCCGCGUGAAGGAAGAAGGCUUUCGGGUUGUAAACUUCUUUUAAGGGGGAAGAGCAGAAGACGGUACCCCUUGAAUAAGCCACGGCUAACUACGUGCCAGCAGCCGCGGUAAUACGGAGGUGGCAAGCGUUGUCCGGAUUUACUGGGUGGAAAGGGCGUGCAGCCGGGGAGACAAGUCAGAGGUGAAAUCCACGGGCUCAACCCGUGAACUGCAUUGGAAACUGUUUCCCUUGAGUGUCGGAGAGGUAAUCGGAAUUCGUGGUGUAGCGGGGAAAUGCGUAGAUAUAAGGAAGAACACCGAUGGCGAAGGCGGAUUACUGGACGGUAACUGACGGUGAGGCGCGAAAGCGUGGGGAGCAAACAGGAUUAGAUACCCGGGUAGUC